GUCUAUGGCCAUACCACCCUGAACGCGUCCAGUCUCAUCUCAUCUCGGAAGCUAAGCAGGGUCAGGCCUGGUUAGUACUUGGAGGGGA
This 88-nucleotide ribosomal RNA is filed under the name Homo sapiens (human). Lineage: Eukaryota; Metazoa; Chordata; Mammalia; Primates; Hominidae. The record is from RNAcentral.